GAAAGGUUGUUUGAAGAACCCAGAAUGGUUCUUCGAUGGCGUCGCUGCGAAAACCCCCUUUGGUACCUGAAUUUUUAAGAGUGCAGAUGCGCUAUAGAUAUUUCUAGGACUUUUACAGGCCUUAAAAUAACAAUUAUAAAAUCCCCUGAAAUUUACAUGUUUUCCAUAACUGGGGAAAUAAUGUGCGCUACUAAUCACUGACAAUGUUGGGUUGACAUCUUCCUGCUAAAACCUAAUGGCUUGUUUAUGUGUGUGUGUGUGUGUGUGUGUGUGUGU
This is a long non-coding RNA of Sinocyclocheilus anshuiensis, 276 nucleotides long. RefSeq lists it as uncharacterized. The transcript has 2 exons. The record is from RefSeq and is a predicted model, not a curated record. Lineage: Eukaryota; Metazoa; Chordata; Actinopteri; Cypriniformes; Cyprinidae.